RNAcentral lists this long non-coding RNA (2114 nucleotides) under Theobroma cacao (cacao). RNAcentral describes it as "long non-coding RNA (TCAC_LNC001136)". Lineage: Eukaryota; Viridiplantae; Streptophyta; Magnoliopsida; Malvales; Malvaceae. The record is from RNAcentral.
CAAGCAAGCCUAGCUAUAUUAUCCUGCUCAUUAUUUCAUCAAAUUUCUAAAGUCACAUUUUAUAAUUUAGAAUCCAGUUAAUGCUAUUCAUGGCCAACUUAUAAUGGCAUUACCAAUUAAUAUACAUGUGUUGUCUAAACAUAUGUCUUAAUAAUUUACAUUGGGUCUGUCUAUACACAAUAAAAAAGUACUCGACUUCUAAUGGAGAGACUCAAAAGAAUGUAUAGCUACUGAAUGCUGAGACACCUACCAAGGGUCGAAUAUACGAAGACACUUCAACCUAGUUACCAGCUGCCUCGUGAUCUGAAAACAUGAAGUUGAAAACGAUGAGUAUAAACCCAGUGAGUGAACAAGGAAGGGAACAAGCAACAGUAAGGAAGGAUUUAAAAAUCAUGAUGCACUUAUUUCAAAACAAGGCAAUUUAAUUUAGUGCUUAUCAAAACCCCUCAGGAAAACCCCAAUUGAUUAAAUCACUUAAUGUAAAGGGUCCAUGCUCAACAAAAGAUUUGAAAAAUGAAAACUUUAAUAACUUUCAUGCAAUUCAAGUGAGAAUGAAUUUUCGUUGCAGCGACAUUUGAAUUAAAUUAUCAACUAGCCGAGGGAUUCUUAGCUGGCCGAGGGUUUCUCACCAAACCCCUCAUUUUAAACUUAGUUUGUUUAUUCCUUAAUGUUGGAAGUCCAUGCUCAACUAUAGUACCAAAGAAGUGGAAAAUAGUGCAGCAAUCGAUUAAGAUACUAAGCAAAAUAGAAAGUUUUUCACUACAGCGAGAUUCAAGCCAUGAAACACAAACUUUCUCGCUACAACGAGAACCAUGUUUGGUGAAACCCUUGAAAACUUGAGAGUUUCUCGCUGCAAAAGAAUGAAUCUCGCUAUAGCGAGAAACAGGGCACCAGCAAAAAUUCCCCAUUUCCUCAAGAAAAGGCCACCCUGUUCACAUGACAAAUGCAACUUGAAACACAUAUAAAUUCCCAAAGCUUAACAUGUCAAAUUUCACAUGCAUUUCAAUCAUAUACAUAUUCAUGAACUUUCCAUGACACACAUAUCUAUAUAUGUAUAUAUAUAUAUAUAUCCAUCAUCAUGCACACUCUACCAUCGUCAUCAGCUCAUGUGCACUCCCCACUAGCACAUGGCUGGGUUAACAUUGGCUUAUGCGCACUUCUAUUCGCACAUAACCGAGUCAUCAUCGGCUUAUACGCACUCCUACUCGCACAUAGUCGGGUCAUCAUCGGCAUAUGUGCACUCCUACUUGCACAUAGCCAAGUCCACAUCAACAUAUGAAAGAAACACCCAAUGCAUAUUGUACAUAUCAUCAUAUUGUGAUAUCACAUAAACCAUUUAUAUACCACAUUUUCACAAGAUAAAAACACCUCACCAAAGGCUUGUUCCCAAGGUACAUUUUUAAAGAAAAGCUAGAUAAAAUCUUUCAAAUGUUUGUACAAUUACAUUCACAUUCCCAAAAGAAAUUUUGAAAUGCAAGCCCACUCACCGGUAUUAUUUUAGCCUUUAGCCGAUCCUAACUUCCCUAACUGUCCAAAUGGGAUGAUGGGGCUUCGUUGGAACCUAUCAUCACAUUAGCAUCACCAAUUUGUCAAUUCACAUACUUAUAAAGUCUAAAGCUUUCUCUUAGCUAGCCUCCAAUUGCCAUUUAAAUUGCUAUCUAUUUUCACUACCCUAAUCACUCUAAAAUGAGUGGAUAACCUCAACUAUAAACAUUCACAAUUCCCUAAAAUAUAUACCAGCACAUGCUAUCCAUAAUUUUUGUAAUUAAAAUAAAUCAUACUUAUAGGUAUAUAUUUAUGAAAAUUUUUAAAAUUGACACCCCCUACUCACCUUGGUAACUUGAAACUUUGAAAUUCUUUCCAAUAAAUUUUCCAAGCUAUUAUGGGAGCUUUCUCUCUCUUUCUUUCUUUAAACACCUAGCUAGUGAGAGAAAGUAUGAAAGUGGGAUUUUUCAAGGGUUUUAAAGUGAGAGAGUGAAAGAGCACAAAGAUUUCAUGAAAGGGUGUAUCGAGGCAUGAAAAUUAGAGCUAGAGAGAGAAAGUUAUGGAAGCUUGAAGAGGACUCCCAUGGAGGAUGAAGAAACGUGAGAGGGAAGAAGGAAGAAGAAGAAGAA